UCGGACUGACCAAAUCUUCUUCUUCCUCACGUUAACAGGAAACCAACUCCCACACGAACACAUACAUGAACCGACCUUGAUUCAUAUCCCUUCCAAAUCCUAUCUCUAAUCUCCCCCUCGUUCGAGAAUCUUGUCAAUGUGGGGUCUUUCUCGACUGAUUCUUCCAAAGCCUAGUGCCCGAAACCACCUCUACUCGAAGCUCUCGCCGUUUGGAUCUCGUCAUACACACUGCAGUUCAUCAUUAGAUUCCUAUCCCGAUGAGCCUUCCCGAGCCUCCCUUUUCUGUAAUUCGACUAUCCUCGAUCCCUAGAUUCUUUUUGAAAUGAUCUUGCAUCCUCUCUCCAUGUACAACUAUCGUUUGGAUAUCGCAAAACCGUCAUAGUUCAUGGAGGUCACCUCAACGCCCCCCUCAUCUCCGUCAUCCCCAACUUCCAUCAACACCAAAAAUUGGUUACUCUUGAUCUCCUACAUGCAUCGGACAUCAUCGCCGAUCCUACUGAUGACGGGAGCACCGCCACCCACUGGCCUCUCCUUCGGUGUCUAUCGUUUCUUCUAUGUAGGUAAAGAGACCUCGUGUUCUUCUCAUUCUUUUAAAGAAAGCAUUAAACUUCGGC
RNAcentral lists this long non-coding RNA (614 nucleotides) under Hordeum vulgare. Its description in RNAcentral is "long non-coding RNA (HVUL_LNC012117)". Lineage: Eukaryota; Viridiplantae; Streptophyta; Magnoliopsida; Poales; Poaceae. The record is from RNAcentral.